GUUCUUUAAACCUAAAGAAUUUGGCGGUAUUUUAGUCUAUUUAGAGGAACCUGCUUUGUAAUCGAUAAUCCUCGUUUUAUCUUUCUUUAUCUUGUUUAGUAUGUAUAUCGCUGUUAUAAGUUUAUUUUAUUAGAAUUUAAAUUUACUUAAUUUUUAAUUUAAAAUUAUUUCAAGUCAAGGUGCAGUUUAUGGUUAAGUUUUAGUGGGUUACAAUAUUUUUAGUAUAUGAAUUUAAUAUUUAAAAUUUUAAUGAAAGUGGAUUUAAUAGUAAUUUUAUUAAUAGAGGUAUUUUGAUUUUAGCUCUAAAAUAAGUACACAUCGCCCG
Molecule: ribosomal RNA, 325 nt
Filed under: Marmessoidea bispina
Lineage: Eukaryota; Metazoa; Arthropoda; Insecta; Phasmatodea; Lonchodidae
Description: partial small subunit ribosomal RNA
Source: RNAcentral